UUAGAGUUUUGAUCCUGGCUCAGGAAUGAACGCUGGCGGCGUGCUUAACACAUGCAAGUCGAACGGUGAAGCAGGAGCUUGCUCUUGUGGAUCAGUGGCGAACGGGUGAGUAACACGUGAGCAACCUGCCCCUGACUCUGGGAUAAGCGCUGGAAACGGCGUCUAAUACUGGAUAUGUGACGUGACCGCAUGGUCUGCGUUUGGAAAGAUUUUUCGGUUGGGGAUGGGCUCGCGGCCUAUCAGCUUGUUGGUGAGGUAAUGGCUCACCAAGGCGUCGACGGGUAGCCGGCCUGAGAGGGUGACCGGCCACACUGGGACUGAGACACGGCCCAGACUCCUACGGGAGGCAGCAGUGGGGAAUAUUGCACAAUGGGCGAAAGCCUGAUGCAGCAACGCCGCGUGAGGGAUGACGGCCUUCGGGUUGUAAACCUCUUUUAGCAGGGAAGAAGCGAAAGUGACGGUACCUGCAGAAAAAGCGCCGGCUAACUACGUGCCAGCAGCCGCGGUAAUACGUAGGGCGCAAGCGUUAUCCGGAAUUAUUGGGCGUAAAGAGCUCGUAGGCGGUUUGUCGCGUCUGCUGUGAAAUCCCGAGGCUCAACCUCGGGCCUGCAGUGGGUACGGGCAGACUAGAGUGCGGUAGGGGAGAUUGGAAUUCCUGGUGUAGCGGUGGAAUGCGCAGAUAUCAGGAGGAACACCGAGGCGAAGGCAGUUCGGGCCGUAACGACGUAGAGGAAAGUGGAGCACUGGGCUGAUCCAGUAG
RNAcentral lists this ribosomal RNA (760 nucleotides) under Microbacterium paraoxydans. Its description in RNAcentral is "bacterial SSU rRNA". It matches the Rfam family "Bacterial small subunit ribosomal RNA", at positions 1 to 793 of the family's 1533-position model. Lineage: Bacteria; Bacillati; Actinomycetota; Actinomycetes; Micrococcales; Microbacteriaceae. The record is from RNAcentral.